Molecule: non-coding RNA, 655 nt
Organism: Biomphalaria pfeifferi
Lineage: Eukaryota; Metazoa; Mollusca; Gastropoda; Planorbidae
Source: the annotation of a GenBank genome assembly
CCCCCCCCCCCCCCCCGGUCAGUACCAUGUAAUACUCCACACUGCCCAACACUCAUGUCAAUUUGUAUUGUCAGUUGGGACAUUCUGCUAACUGCAGCAGUGCAUCCUACAUUCUGAUCUAAAUAAACAAUUGAAUGACUUGACUCUGUUGUAACGGAGAAAUGCUGAUACCUGAGAGCAUAAUUUCCAGCUAAUGCAAUAUCUUGAGACUGCUCCAGUACAUCAACUAGGCCAGUUUAAUUUCAACUAGUCUCUUCGCUACUCAAAUUUGUAAUCCUCUUGUCUAUUUGCAUCAUGUUCAAAUUUGUUGAUUAAAAAAAAUUUUCACUUUUGUGCCAAAUUCAUAAAUUGACACCUUUUUUUCAAAAACUAUAAAUACGAUUUGGAGUUGAGUUUUUAAACUCAAAAGCAGCACUUGGAGCUGUUCUUGUGGGUAAGGAAUAAGAAGAGUUGACAAAACUAGACACAAUUUUAUUCCAUUCGAAAACUUUUUCAUAUCUCUAGGGCUAAAAAAAAGGAAACAUCUUUUCUCUGAGUCUCUGUAUCUGAAACUUCAUGGCACAACUUUUAUUUCUUAACUUCCAGAAGCCAGUAAGGAUUUGUUUUAAUUCUGAGUUUCAUUAUUUGUUGUCUUUUUUUUUUUUUUUUUUUUUUU